AAGGAUCAUUAUCGUGGGGCUCCGGCCCCUUCGAGAGAUCACCCUUGCCUUUUCGAGCACCUGUUUGUUGCCUCGGCAGGCGCGCCUGCCGAUGGACACCCCUUAAACUCUUGCAAUAACCUGUGCAAAAUCGUCUGAACAAAACAAAACCUAAAUCAAAACUUUCAACAACGGAUCUCUUGGUUCUG
Molecule: unclassified non-coding RNA, 188 nt
Filed under: uncultured fungus
Lineage: Eukaryota; Fungi
Description: partial contains 18S rRNA, ITS1, 5.8S rRNA, ITS2 and 28S rRNA
Source: RNAcentral